CCAACGGCCCUCUUUAGGGCCACAAAUACAUAACAAUCCAUAAAU
Non-coding RNA from Caenorhabditis japonica, 45 nucleotides. The record is from Rfam. Lineage: Eukaryota; Metazoa; Nematoda; Chromadorea; Rhabditida; Rhabditidae.